Molecule: ribosomal RNA, 253 nt
Filed under: uncultured prokaryote
Description: partial 16S ribosomal RNA
Rfam family: Bacterial small subunit ribosomal RNA
Source: RNAcentral
GACGAGGGAUCCUAGCGUUGCUCGGAAUCAUUGGGCGUAAAGCGGGUGUAGGUGGCUUGACAAGUCAGGUGUGAAAGCCCAGGGCUCAACCCUGGAAGUGCAUUUGAAACUGUCGAGCUUGAGUGCUAGAGAGGUUAUUAGAAUACCUAGUGUAGUGGUGAAAUACGUAGAUAUUAGGUGGAACACCGGAGGCGAAGGCGGAUAACUGGCUAGACACUGACACUGAGACCCGAAAGUGUGGGGAUCAAACAGG